CAGCCGCCGCGGGAAAACGAAGGGUGCAAGCGUUACUCGGAAUUACUGGGCGUAAAGCGUGUGUAGGUGGUUGUUUAAGUCUGUCGUGAAAGCCCUGGGCUCAACCUGGGAAUUGCGAUGGAUACUGGGCGACUAGAGUGCGGUAGAGGAUAGUGGAAUUUCCGGUGUAGCAGUGAAAUGCGUAGAGAUCGGAAGGAACAUCUGUGGCGAAGGCGACUAUCUGGGCCAACACUGACACUGAGGCACGAAAGCGUGGGGAGCAAACAGGAUUAGAUACCCCAGUAGUCCCUGUCUCUUAUAC
Molecule: ribosomal RNA, 301 nt
Filed under: uncultured bacterium
Lineage: Bacteria
Description: partial 16S ribosomal RNA
Rfam family: Bacterial small subunit ribosomal RNA
Source: RNAcentral